Molecule: ribosomal RNA, 495 nt
Filed under: uncultured bacterium
Lineage: Bacteria
Description: partial 16S ribosomal RNA
Rfam family: Bacterial small subunit ribosomal RNA
Source: RNAcentral
ACGAACGCUGGCGGCGUGCCUAAUACAUGCAAGUUGAGCGCUGAAGGUUGGUACUUGUACCCACUGGAUGAGCAGCGAACGGGUGAGUAACGCGUGGGGAAUCUGCCUCUGAGCGGGGGACAACAUUUGGAAACGAAUGCUAAUACCGCAUAAAAACUUUAAACACAAGUUUUAAGUUUGAAAGAUGCAAUUGCAUCACUCAAAGAUGAUCCCGCGUUGUAUUAGCUAGUUGGUGAGGUAAAGGCUCACCAAGGCGAUGAUACAUAGCCGACCUGAGAGGGUGAUCGGCCACAUUGGGACUGAGACACGGCCCAAACUCCUACGGGAGGCAGCAGUAGGGAAUCUUCGGCAAUGGACGAAAGUCUGACCGAGCAACGCCGCGUGAGUGAAGAAGGUUUUCGGAUCGUAAAACUCUGUUGGUAGAGAAGAACGUUGGUGAGAGUGGAAAGCUCAUCAAGUGACGGUAACUACCCAGAAAGGGACGGCUAACUACGU